AAAACCAUUGAAAUAGUUAGUGGUGGAUCUAGAAACACUUUCUAUCGAUCUGACUCGAAAUAUAUAUAUGAACGAUUUUUUGUCUUCAAAUAAACUCAUGGUUCAAAUGAAAGUAGAAUUAUUGCUUUGUUAGAAAAGGAAAACUAGAAUAGCUUUAUGUUUUUCUUUUCUUAUUUUCACAAAAAAAAAAAAAGAUUGACUGUUUCUUCAAAUCUAUACUAUUAAUUGGGGAUCAUUUUUAGUCUUUGUUGCCAAACAAACCUGAAAAAAAAAUAUUAGAAAAAUGUGAUUGCAAACCUAUUGCCAAACACAUUUAAAGACAGCAAAAAAU
Molecule: long non-coding RNA, 331 nt
Filed under: Capsella rubella
Lineage: Eukaryota; Viridiplantae; Streptophyta; Magnoliopsida; Brassicales; Brassicaceae
Description: long non-coding RNA (CRUB_LNC002287)
Source: RNAcentral